Zingiber officinale is the source of this 689-nucleotide long non-coding RNA. RefSeq lists it as uncharacterized. NCBI's taxonomy places the organism in Eukaryota, Viridiplantae, Streptophyta, Magnoliopsida, Zingiberales, Zingiberaceae. The record is from RefSeq and is a predicted model, not a curated record. The transcript has 3 exons.
CCAUAGUUUUCUUCGCCACCCCCCUCUGUCGCCUCUCUCGCCUGAUUCCCCUCUGCCGCACCCCCUUUUGAAGCCGCGAUUCGACACCGCCUUUGCCGGAGCAACCGGAGCCAGCCGGUGCUUCCUCCUACGUACCCUACAGCGACACCUAGAAAAAUGAGGAAGAUGUCAUCCCGAAUGUGGUAGGGGACACGGAGGCAGAGUAGCUGAGGAGAUGAGGUCGAAUGCAUCACACACUGUCUAGAGGCUCUAGGAAGCUACUCGACGGUUUCAGACGACCAAAUGAGAUAUACAUGAUCGGCUAGUGAAUAAGUUAUGACUAACGGAGUCGGCAACUUUCAAGCGACCGAAGCGAGGUGCAAGCGACUUCCUCUAUGGUCCGGGUGAUCAGAGAAUGCUUCUAGGUGACUAAUGAUGACAUGAUUUAGCAGUCUAGAGGAUCCGGUCAAGAUAGAUAUUUGACUUCAGGAAUCCGAAGGGGUCCAAGCUUUAGAAGACUACAAAAAGUAUAUUCGAGGCAAUUAGAGGAACUUCCAGUCCACCUAAAUGGUGCCAAGUCAACCUCGAAUAUACUCUAUAAAAGGAAGCUCGAGAGAUUGCAUUUGGACAACACAAUUAUUCGUUUUGACAUUCUGUUUAUUGUGCUUCUAUUUUCUUAUGUCGACGUGAUGCCCGUGCGCUUCUCAAAG